Molecule: ribosomal RNA, 497 nt
Filed under: uncultured bacterium
Lineage: Bacteria
Description: partial 16S ribosomal RNA
Rfam family: Bacterial small subunit ribosomal RNA
Source: RNAcentral
GAUGAACGCUGGCGGCGUGCCUAAUACAUGCAAGUCGAGCGAACGGACGAGAAGCUUGCUUCUCUGAUGUUAGCGGCGGACGGGUGAGUAACACGUGGAUAACCUACCUAUAAGACUGGGAUAACUUCGGGAAACCGUAGCUAAUACCGGAUAAUAUUUUGAACCGCAUGGUUCAAAAGUGAAAGACGGUCUUGCUGUCACUUAUAGAUGGAUCCGCGCUGCAUUAGCUAGUUGGUAAGGUAACGGCUUACCAAGGCAACGAUGCAUAGCCGACCUGAGAGUGUGAUCGGCCACACUGGAACUGAGACACGGUCCAGACUCCUACGGGAGGUAGCAGUAGGGAAUCUUCCGAAAUGGGCGAAAGCCUGACGGAGCAACGCCGCGUGAGUGAUGAAGGUCUUCGGAUCGUAAAACUCUGUUAUUAGGGAAGAACAUAUGUGUAAGUAACUGUGCACAUCUUGACGGUACCUAAUCAGAAAGCCACGGCUAACUACGUG